AUGAGGAAGUAUGUCAUAGUGCCCAACAAUGCAGCAAAAAGGGAGAAAUGGAGCAGGGUUGAGUAUGAGGUGAACAUAAGUGAAGACAAAGAAGAAUUUACGUGUGAAUGUGGACAGUUCAAGCACACUGGGAUGUUAUGCUGCCAUGUUCUAAGGGUGAUGGAAAUACUUCAUGCUGAGGAAAUCCCGGCUAAUCAUAUAUUGAAGCGGUGGACAAACGACGUGAGGGACAUACUACCCCAACAUCUGGUUCAGUACCAGAGAGAUGAUCCAGUUAACCUGUCAUUCACGUGUAGGCACUCCACCUUGUACUUGAAAGCCAUGGAUGUAGUACGUUUGGGUGAUGCAAGUGCAGAGGCUUUCGAUCACAUUUAUGUUGGUCUGGAUGCUUUAAUGGUGAGUGGAACACCUUUGGCCGAGAGGAGGGAUGGUCUGGAUUUUGAAGACCGCAUGGCCGGCUUAGUUCCUGGUACAUUACCUAGGAACGGAGAGAUUGCUUGUGUUGGCAAGCAACGAAAUUGCCGAAAAAUGCAUUAG
This 537-nucleotide ribosomal RNA is filed under the name Triticum aestivum (bread wheat). RNAcentral describes it as "partial small subunit ribosomal RNA". The record is from RNAcentral. Lineage: Eukaryota; Viridiplantae; Streptophyta; Magnoliopsida; Poales; Poaceae.